RNAcentral lists this unclassified non-coding RNA (214 nucleotides) under uncultured Trechispora. RNAcentral's name for it is "sequence contains ITS1". The record is from RNAcentral. Lineage: Eukaryota; Fungi; Basidiomycota; Agaricomycetes; Polyporales; Polyporaceae.
UCGUAUCUCCGAGGAGGGGGUCCGGUCGCGCCCUGCUCCGGCCCAACCGGCCGUGCAGCGGGUUCCCGUCCCCUACUCGCAACCCAACAAACCCUGUGCUCCUUCACGGCCAGAGGGUGCCGCCGGCGAAAGCUGCGUGUGUGCCCGAAGCCGCAUUAAACAAACCCCAGUUCAAAAGAAUGUCAAGCGGACUCUGUGCCGCCUACAAUUGAAA